GGGGGUUUAGCUCAGUGGUAGAGCGCUCGGUUUGCAUCCGAGAGGCCGUGGGUUCAAACCCCACAUCCUCCA
RNAcentral lists this transfer RNA (72 nucleotides) under Chytriomyces sp. MP71. RNAcentral's name for it is "tRNA-Ala". It matches the Rfam family "tRNA". Rfam says of the family: Transfer RNA (tRNA) molecules are approximately 80 nucleotides in length. Their secondary structure includes four short double-helical elements and three loops (D, anti-codon, and T loops). Further hydrogen bonds mediate the characteristic L-shaped molecular structure. tRNAs have two regions of fundamental functional importance: the anti-codon, which is responsible for specific mRNA codon recognition, and the 3' end, to which the tRNAs corresponding amino acid is attached (by aminoacyl-tRNA synthetases). tRNAs cope with the degeneracy of the genetic code in two manners: having more than one tRNA (with a specific anti-codon) for a particular amino acid; and 'wobble' base-pairing, i.e. permitting non-standard base-pairing at the 3rd anti-codon position. The record is from RNAcentral. Lineage: Eukaryota; Fungi; Chytridiomycota; Chytridiomycetes; Chytridiales; Chytriomycetaceae.